AUUGAACGCUGGCGGAAUGCUUUACACAUGCAAGUCGAACGGCAGCACGGACUUCGGUCUGGUGGCGAGUGGCGAACGGGUGAGUAAUGUAUCGGAACGUGCCCGGUCGUGGGGGAUAACGUAGUGAAAAUUACGCUAAUACCGCAUACGAUCUAUGGAUGAAAGCGGGGGAUCGCAAGACCUCGCGCGAUUGGAGCGGCCGAUAUCAGAUUAGGUAGUUGGUGGGGUAAAGGCCCACCAAGCCAACGACCUGUAGCUGGUCUGAGAGGACGACCAGCCACACUGGAACUGAGACACGGUCCAGACUCCUACGGGAGGCAGCAGUGGGGAAUUUUGGACAAUGGGCGAAAGCAUGAUCCAGCCAUUCCGCGGGCAGGAUGAAGGCCCUCGGGUUGUAAACUGCUUUUGUACAGAACGAAAAGGUUUCUACUAAUACUAGGAGCUCAUGACGGUACUGUAAGAAUAAGCACCGGCUAACUACGUGCCAGCAGCAGCCGCGG
This 500-nucleotide ribosomal RNA is filed under the name uncultured bacterium. RNAcentral describes it as "partial 16S ribosomal RNA". It matches the Rfam family "Bacterial small subunit ribosomal RNA", at positions 30 to 523 of the family's 1533-position model. The record is from RNAcentral.